GCGAACUUGGCAGAGAUGCCUUGGUGCCUUCGGGAACGCUGAGACAGGUGCUGCAUGGCUGUCGUCAGCUCGUGUUGUGAAAUGUUGGGUUAAGUCCCGCAACGAGCGCAACCCUUAUCCUUUGUUGCCAGCGAUUCGGUCGGGAACUCAAAGGAGACUGCCGGUGAUAAACCGGAGGAAGGUGGGGAUGACGUCAAGUCAUCAUGGCCCUUACGAGUAGGGCUACACACGUGCUACAAUGGCGCAUACAAAGAGAAGCGACCUCGCGAGAGCAAGCGGACCUCAUAAAGUGCGUCGUAGUCCGGAUCGGAGUCUGCAACUCGACUCCGUGAAGUCGGAAUCGCUAGUAAUCGUGGAUCAGAAUGCCACGGUGAAUACGUUCCCGGGCCUUGUACACACCGCCCGUCACACCAUGGGAGUGGGUUGCAAAAGAAGUAGGUAGCUUAACCUUCGGGAGGGCGCUUACUACUUUGUGAUUCAUGACUGGGGUGAAGUCGUAACAAGGUAGGCGUAGCGAG
Molecule: ribosomal RNA, 518 nt
Filed under: uncultured bacterium
Lineage: Bacteria
Description: bacterial SSU rRNA
Rfam family: Bacterial small subunit ribosomal RNA
Source: RNAcentral